This 923-nucleotide ribosomal RNA is filed under the name uncultured Bacteroidota bacterium. Its description in RNAcentral is "bacterial SSU rRNA". It matches the Rfam family "Bacterial small subunit ribosomal RNA", at positions 1 to 917 of the family's 1533-position model. Lineage: Bacteria; Pseudomonadati; Bacteroidota. The record is from RNAcentral.
UGGAUCCAGCUUUGAUUCUGGCUCAGGAUGAACGCUAGCUACAGGCUUAACACAUGCAAGUCGAGGGGCAGCGGGAUUGAAGCUUGCUUCAAUUGCCGGCGACCGGCGCACGGGUGUGUAACGCGUAUCCAACCUUCCGUACACUCAGGGAUAGCCUUUCGAAAGAAAGAUUAAUACCUGAUAGUAUCUUAAGCACACAUGUAAUUAAGAUUAAAGAUUUAUCGGUGUACGAUGGGGAUGCGUUCCAUUAGGUAGUAGGCGGGGUAACGGCCUACCUAGCCAACGAUGGAUAGGGGUUCUGAGAGGAAGGUCCCCCACAUUGGAACUGAGACACGGUCCAAACUCCUACGGGAGGCAGCAGUGAGGAAUAUUGGUCAAUGGACGAGAGUCUGAACCAGCCAAGUAGCGUGAAGGAUGAAGGUCCUACGGGUUGUAAACUUCUUUUAUAAGGGAAUAAACCCUCCCACGUGUGGGAGCUUGUAUGUACCUUAUGAAUAAGCAUCGGCUAACUCCGUGCCAGCAGCCGCGGUAAUACGGAGGAUGCGAGCGUUAUCCGGAUUUAUUGGGUUUAAAGGGAGCGCAGACGGGUCGUUAAGUCAGCUGUGAAAGUUUGGGGCUCAACCUUAAAAUUGCAGUUGAUACUGGCGUCCUUGAGUGCGGUUGAGGUGUGCGGAAUUCGUGGUGUAGCGGUGAAAUGCUUAGAUAUCACGAAGAACUCCGAUUGCGAAGGCAGCACACUAAUCCGUAACUGACGUUCAUGCUCGAAAGUGUGGGUAUCAAACAGGAUUAGAUACCCUGGUAGUCCACACGGUAAACGAUGGAUACUCGCUGUUGGCGAUAUACUGUCAGCGGCUUAGCGAAAGCGUUAAGUAUCCCACCUGGGGAGUACGCCGGCAACGGUGCAACUCAAAGGAAUUGACGGA